CCUACGGGAGGCAGCAGUGGGGAAUUUUGCGCAAUGCUCGUAAGAGUGACGCAGCGACGCCGCGUGAAUGACGAUGGCCUUCGGGUCGUAAAGUUCUUUCGACAGGGAAGAAAAUGCCUAUCAGUAACUGUGUAUGGAUUGACGGUACCUGUAUAAGCAGCCCCGGCUAACUCGGUGCCAGCAGCCGCGGUAAUACGGCGGGGGCGAGCGUUGUUCGGAGUGACUGGGCGUAAAGAGCACGUAGGCGGUGUUGUAAGUACUUAGUCAAAGACUAGAGGUCAACUUUAGUAAGGCUAGUGAUACUAUAAUACGAGAGUAUCAGAGAGGAUUGCAGAAUUCCUGGUGUAGCGGUGAAAUGCGUAGAUAUCAGGAGGAAUACCGUUAGCGAAGGCGGCAAUCUGGCUGGAAACUGACGCUGAGGUGCGAAAGCGUGGGUAGCAAACAGGAUUAGAUACCCGGGUAGUC
RNAcentral lists this ribosomal RNA (465 nucleotides) under uncultured bacterium. Its description in RNAcentral is "partial 16S ribosomal RNA". It matches the Rfam family "Bacterial small subunit ribosomal RNA", at positions 338 to 795 of the family's 1533-position model. The record is from RNAcentral.